This is a long non-coding RNA of Budorcas taxicolor (takin), 510 nucleotides long. RefSeq lists it as uncharacterized. NCBI's taxonomy places the organism in Eukaryota, Metazoa, Chordata, Mammalia, Artiodactyla, Bovidae. The record is from RefSeq and is a predicted model, not a curated record. The transcript is spliced from 3 exons.
CGGAAACUGCACACGGCGAGGGCAGGGGCAGGGGGCUCGGCGCACGGCCCGGGCCGCCCUGCACGCGGUGUUCCCCGCUCUGCGCCCGGCCCUUCCCUCCAUCGCCCCGGCGCACGUAGGGCGGCUUCUGGGAACUGAUGCCUGGUGGCCCGUGUGCACAGCUCGGUGAGCCGCGCGGCCCGCCAGUGACUCAGCGCGGGGCGGGUGCGGGCAGCGCCCGGCCCCGGAGGGUUUUUGCACUCGCCCCAGCUCCUUUCCGCUAUAAAAGCAGCCCACCGCCCGCUCCGCUCCAGCACGCCCCUUCGGCAUCCUCGCCAUCCUUUGCUCAGCCGUUUCCGGACCCCAGCCUCCGCUUCAGCUCGCCAUGGAUCCCAACUGCUCCUGCACCGCGGGUGAAUCCUGCACGUGCGCCGGCUCCUGCAAAUGCAAAGAUUGCAAGUGCGCCUCCUGCAAGAAGAGCUGCUGCUCCUGCUGCCCCAUGGGCUGUGCCAAGUGUGCCCAGGGCUGCAU